GUGUGUGUGUGUGUGUGUGUAUCUUCGAUGAGUUCUGAAAUUGUGGGAACGGAAGUAAGGUUGAUUUUCUAUUUUCUUUUUUAAUAUUAUAGGUUUAACAGAGAACUGAUUAGCAUCUGUGAAUUUCUGAUAUGCUAUUGUUCUUUAGCAGAUAUGCUUCUGCAUCCCUUAAAUGUUGUAUUUGUAUUUUGUGCAGUUUCAUGGUUUGGCUAUAGUUCUUUCUUUGUUUUACGGAAUGUAAUAAAUUAGGAGUGGCAUUGUUGUUGCAUGACUAUGAAAUGGAUAAAUUUCUCUUAUACAUGGAAUUUGUAUUUAAAUCGAAGUUAACUGUAGCUAUUCUUAUUUUUAAUACAUUUAUAAUAUUCCAUGAACCAAACGAAAGAUUAUGCUUUAUGUUUUCUGAUUUCAGAAUCUUUAUCUCAGUUCCUAUAUCUAAGAAAAGUACACAAGUGAAAUAACUAUUUCCUAAUGAACAAAACUGAUUCUUUUAUUGUUGUCCUUUGUUAUUGUGCAGUUUCAGUUUCUGCACAAAUGA
This 535-nucleotide unclassified non-coding RNA is filed under the name Hevea brasiliensis (rubber tree). The record is from RNAcentral. Lineage: Eukaryota; Viridiplantae; Streptophyta; Magnoliopsida; Malpighiales; Euphorbiaceae.